AAUCAACGCUGGCGGCAGGCCUAAUACAUGCAAGUCGAACGAGAUUGAGGAGCUUGCUCUUCAUGAAAGUGGCGCACGGGUGCGUAACGCGUAUGCAACCUACCUUAAUCAGGGGGAUAGCCUCUCGAAAGAGAGAUUAACACCGCAUAAAAUCACAGUCUGGCAUCAGAUAAUGAUCAAAUAUUUAUAGGAUUAAGAUGGGCAUGCGUGACAUUAGUUAGUUGGUGAGGUAACGGCUCACCAAGACCACGAUGUCUAGGGGAUCUGAGAGGAUUAACCCCCACACUGAUACUGAGACACGGACCAGGCUCCUACGGAGGGCAGCAUGAAGGAAUAUUGGUCAAUGGAGGCAACUAUACACAGCCCUGCCGCGGGCAGGAAGACGGCCCUUCGGGUUGUAAACUGCUUUUAUACGGGAAUAAACCUCAUUACGUGUAAUGAGCUGAAUGUACUGUAAGAAUAAGUAUCGGCUAACUCCGAGCCAGCCGCCGCCGUAA
RNAcentral lists this ribosomal RNA (497 nucleotides) under uncultured bacterium. Its description in RNAcentral is "partial 16S ribosomal RNA". It matches the Rfam family "Bacterial small subunit ribosomal RNA", at positions 32 to 523 of the family's 1533-position model. The record is from RNAcentral.